GGGACCUUCGGGCCUUGCGCUAUCAGAUGAGCCUAGGUCGGAUUAGCUAGUUGGUGGGGUAAUGGCUCACCAAGGCGACGAUCCGUAACUGGUCUGAGAGGAUGAUCAGUCACACUGGAACUGAGACACGGUCCAAACUCAUACGGGAGGCAGCAGUGGGGAAUAUUGGACAAUGGGCGAAAGCCUGAUCCAGCCAUGCCGCGUGUGUGAAGAAGGUCUUCGGAUUGUAAAGCACUUUAAGUUGGGAGGAAGGGCAGUAAGUUAAUACCUUGCUGUUUUGACGUUACCGACAGAAUAAGCACCGGCUAACUCUGUGCCAGCAGCCGCGGUAAUACAGAGGGUGCAAGCGUUAAUCGGAAUUACUGGGCGUAAAGCGCGCGUAGGUGGUUUGUUAAGUUGGAUGUGAAAGCCCCCGGGCUCAACCUGGGAACUGCAUCCAAAACUGGCAAGCUAGAGUACGGUAGAGGGUGGUGGAAUUUCCUGUGUAGCGG
Molecule: ribosomal RNA, 491 nt
Filed under: Pseudomonas sp. hata38
Lineage: Bacteria; Pseudomonadati; Pseudomonadota; Gammaproteobacteria; Pseudomonadales; Pseudomonadaceae
Description: bacterial SSU rRNA
Rfam family: Bacterial small subunit ribosomal RNA
Source: RNAcentral